This 104-nucleotide small nucleolar RNA is filed under the name Arabidopsis thaliana (thale cress). RNAcentral's name for it is "ATSL072350". Lineage: Eukaryota; Viridiplantae; Streptophyta; Magnoliopsida; Brassicales; Brassicaceae. The record is from RNAcentral.
AGGUGCAUCAGAGAGAUUCCCAUCUAGACUUAAUCAUCAUUAUACUUCUCCCAAAGGAGAAUCUGAUGUCCCUGUCUUUUUAUCAUCACUUGCACACACACUAA